UUUUUCCAUCAUCCAAU
Molecule: small RNA, 17 nt
Filed under: Arabidopsis thaliana (thale cress)
Lineage: Eukaryota; Viridiplantae; Streptophyta; Magnoliopsida; Brassicales; Brassicaceae
Description: ATSL182000
Source: RNAcentral